UUUUUAAUGCAAUCCUUGAAAACGCACCUUUGUGUCCCAUUUAACCUUACUUUCAAUUUUCGUUUUGCCAUUUCCAAGGGUAUUUUGGGGGCUUUUUGAAUAUGUACGAUAUGGGAAUUGUCAUAUCCAUGAACAAAAGUGGGAUGUCAUUCCGGGCAGAAACCUCAAUGUUACAGCUGUUUCAGCACCAUUCCUUGGGUUGGCUUCAAGAGAUCCCUGAUCAGCUGUCUUCAAGAGAUCCCUGAUUCUGCUGUAGAUGUGUUCUUGGAGUACAUCAGAGGAAAUGAUAAAGAGUUGUCAGAUUCCUGCUUAUCAGGCUCAGUAUUCUCCACAAGCUGUCCAGCAAACUGUGGUGUGAACUCUGCCAUAGUGAUAUUCUGCUCUUGCAUUAAGAUCGAGUAUGCGGAAGACAUCCAACUGGAAUUCAUCAGAACAGAUUGUCAAUUGGCCAGGAAAAUAUAUUGCGAGAACUAAUUUCGGAGGUCGACAUUUUGAAGUCCAUCUAGUUGGGUGUUAGUCGUUAUUCCUGGCAUACGUUCCUAUGAAAACAUUUACGCAUGUGUGCAGGUUCAUCUAUGUUUGGUAAGUAGGGCCGUUAUUAUUAUAUGGAUUAAUUUACCAUGACAAAAACGCCGACUGAAAGGCGUAGUACUGAUAAAAGUACCCGACUCGAAUUGCACAACUUCAACCAACUGAUGUCAUUCUAUUUCUGGGGGUUUCCCUAGCACGCAAUCUCUAUAACUACGUGUAUAUAGCAGCUAACAUUGCAGCUAGUUGUUGACACUUGGCGACUACACAGACGAAGAAGAACACGGAAGAAAGCUGCUCGUAACGAGGAUUUGCCCACUAAUUACAGGUAUCGGACUCAACUGCUUGAUCUUAGGUCAUGUCGAAUCCACAGCGCAGAUACGGCUACUUUAAAUGUCCGGAAUGCAAUCGAGGUUGGGAGAGCUCCUGGGCAUGGUGUUACAGAGGCACAUUCAAGCCAUCAUCUGGCCAGCAGUGCCAGAAUUCUGGCUGCUCGGAUGACUACGUCAAACCGUACAGAGUAGAGCGUCUGAAGUGCUCGGUUUGCGGGUCGAACCAGGGGUGCAGUUGCAGUCGUGACGGGCGCAAUGUGGACCCGGCUAAGCCCCACAGGAGUGAGCUGUGCGAGCGAUGCAUCAAAGGACAGCCCUGCAAAUAUCGUCGAUAUUAGGCAGCCCGGGUAUAAUGUCAGAUUAUGCAUACCGUACCGGAGUCCGUGGAUGUAGUUACCAGUAGCAAUAGUCUGGUUUCCUCACCCCAUUGUCCUUCGGACUUCAAAAAUAGGGUUCGGUAACUAAAUGCACCAUUACACGGAAUAAUGCCAAUGUAUUCAUGACGUCUUAAGUCUGAAUUCCGCCUCCUGAUAUGCAUUCAAAAUCACAACGGUAAUGUUUGUGCACAACCAGCCUAUUGCAAAAUCAGGCCACGAAUUUACAAUUUCGGAGGUAGGCCUAAUGAGCUUCAAGUUUGCUAAAUUCGAAAGUGUCUCUCGUAACUAUUAAUAAGGAGAGGGUAUUACUUAAAACCUAUGCAGUUGGAAUACUUGAAAUUUGUUUUUUUUAUGGAGACACUGGCGAUUUUGGGUACUUUUUGUGGUAAGAGAAGAGCGAGUUUUGUUUUAUAAUGUGUUCAAGUAUGGUCCAUGCACAAAGUGAUUAAAAAAACUGAACAAUCGUGCUGCGCGCGCAGAUGUGAUCCAAAUGGGAGCUAGUUACCUGUCCCCGUAUAUUUUUUUUUUUGGGGGGGGCACCGUCUACAGUUGCAACUGCCCACUCUGUUAUUUUAUUUACGCAAUUAAGAUAGGGAAAAAAGAAAUAACUUAAUGUACAAAUACCAAAACUCAUCUGCAUGUGCCAAGGAUGUACAUAGGCCUACUUAUAGCAUUCACCGAAAAAUUAUUAAUUAAUGGCAUGUUUGCCCCGAAACCACUUCAAUUUGUUUUUAUUCUACUUCAGAUGAGUUUCAAGUAGGACCUUUGUCUUAUGGUACCAGAAGUGGGGGAAUAUAAUGGGAUGUUAAAUAAAAAAAUUAAUAAUAAUAAUACAAAAGUAUUUAUAUAGCGCUUUACAAAGAACAAAGCGCUUAACACUCAUCCACAACAACAAAAUAACAGAAAGAGAAACAGACACGAUACGAUUACGAUUGGAUGUGACUAACUAUAGCAUUUCACAAUACCGGAAAUUCCCAGUGCAUGCAAUCAUAGAGUGGAUGCGUCAUCAAAUCAUGCUUUCCCGCACGGAUGUUCACAUUUUGCAUGUACCAUCCGAAUCAUUAAUAUUAUAAUACAGAGUUUUACACUGAAAUUUUAAUAACAGCCUGCAUUUUUGUUAGGCCAAAAAAAAAGUCUACGGUUUUUGGUAUGCGCGCGCGUCGCCGUAGCCA
RNAcentral lists this long non-coding RNA (2409 nucleotides) under Patiria miniata (bat star). Its description in RNAcentral is "uncharacterized LOC119727163". Lineage: Eukaryota; Metazoa; Echinodermata; Asteroidea; Valvatida; Asterinidae. The record is from RNAcentral.